CGGGCGGCCGUGACCCUGCUGGAGUGCGGGGGGGACCUCCAGCCCCCCGGGGGGUCCCUGACUCUGCUCUGCCGCGCCUCUGGAUUCAAUUUUGGGACUUACAGCAUGUGCUGGGUCCGCCAGAGCUCCGGGAAGGCACUGGAAUGGCUCGCAGGGAUCGGCUACAGUGGUAGCACCUACUACGCGCCGUCGUUCAAGGACCGGUUCAGGAUCUCCAGGGACAACGGGCAGAGCUCGGUGACGCUGACCAUGAACAGCCUCAAGGACGAGGAUUCCGCCGUUUAUUUUUGUCCCCCCGGGGGUUCCCUGACUCUGCUCUGCCGCGCCUCCGGGUUCAAUCUCGGAGAUUAUGGAAUGUUCUGGAUCCGUCAGAGCCCCGGGAAGGCGCUGGAAUACGUUGCACAGAUUGGCUACAAUGGUGCCAACAUCCACUACGCGCCGUCGUUCAAGGGCCGGGUCACGAUCUCCAGGGACAACGGGCAGAGCUCGGUGACGCUGACCAUGAACAACCUCAAGGACGAGGAUUCCGGCAUUUAUUUCUGUGCCAAAAGUCCUGGUGGUCCUGCCUGGAUCGCUGACCUUUCCCGGGUCUUUGGCGAAUCCAGUACAUUCCGAAAGUCCCAAAUGUGA
Catharus ustulatus (Swainson's thrush) is the source of this 630-nucleotide non-coding RNA. The record is from the annotation of a RefSeq genome assembly. Lineage: Eukaryota; Metazoa; Chordata; Aves; Passeriformes; Turdidae.